Molecule: ribosomal RNA, 230 nt
Filed under: uncultured bacterium
Lineage: Bacteria
Description: partial 16S ribosomal RNA
Rfam family: Bacterial small subunit ribosomal RNA
Source: RNAcentral
AAAGCGCACGUAGGCGGCUUUUUAAGUCAGGGGUGAAAUCCCGGGGCUCAACCCCGGAACUGCCCUUGAAACUGGGAAGCUAGAAUCUUGGAGAGGCGAGUGGAAUUCCGAGUGUAGAGGUGAAAUUCGUAGAUAUUCGGAAGAACACCAGUGGCGAAGGCGACUCGCUGGACAAGUAUUGACGCUGAGGUGCGAAAGCGUGGGGAGCAAACAGGAUUAGAUACCCGUGU